CUGUAGUGAGUGAAGUUUUCGUUCAUAAUCACGUAGCUUGUGUGGAAUGGAGAAAGGGAAGUUAAGAAGUGAGGAUAUUUAUAUUAUUUGAAUUAUUAUUUGAUAACGUGUCAACUUGUGUGUGUGUGUGUGUAUGUGGUUGAGGAGCAGUGACAGGUGGCGCUGAGGAGGAAGGGCAGGCGGCUGGCUGGCUCCAGUUUUUUCUUCAGCACCGGUCAGUCAUGCCCCACACGCUCUAGUAACCAGUGUUUCCAUAUUCCUGGCUCCCUGCACCGAGCACCGCCAAGCAGCAUCAAGGAAGCACGAGUAGAUAAGAUUUCUCAAGACCUCUUUGUCGACAAUGUAGAGACCAACAACUUCCUUGCCUCUGCACUGACAUGUCUCUUCGCCAACAUCGAGGACAACACCGCCCGCCUAACAUAACAAUACAUAGCAAGCAGGAACAGACACUCACCCUUGACAGCCUUCUCAAGGGGCUCAGUGGUGUGUAGGAUGUUGGCCCGCACCAGCUCAAGAGGGCCGGGGCGCUGGCAGAGGUGAUCACUGAUGGCAUCCGCUAUUCGGGC
This is a long non-coding RNA of Scylla paramamosain (green mud crab), 566 nucleotides long. RefSeq lists it as uncharacterized. NCBI's taxonomy places the organism in Eukaryota, Metazoa, Arthropoda, Malacostraca, Decapoda, Portunidae. The transcript has 3 exons. The record is from RefSeq and is a predicted model, not a curated record.